AGUGAACGCUGGCGGUAGGCCUAACACAUGCAAGUCGAACUGCAGCACAGUAAGAGCUUGCUCUUACGGGUGGCGAGUGGCGGACGGGUGAGGAAUACAUCGGAAUCUACUUUUUCGUGGGGGAUAACGUAGGGAAACUUACGCUAAUACCGCAUACGACCUACGGGUGAAAGCAGGGGAUCUUCGGACCUUGCGCGAUUGAAUGAGCCGAUGUCGGAUUAGCUAGUUGGCGGGGUAAAGGCCCACCAAGGCGACGAUCCGUAGCUGGUCUGAGAGGAUGAUCAGCCACACUGGAACUGAGACACGGUCCAGACUCCUACGGGAGGCAGCAGUGGGGAAUAUUGGACAAAGGGCGCAAGCCUGAUCCAGCCAUACCGCGUGGGUGAAGAAGGCCUUCGGGUUGUAAAGCCCUUUUGUUGGGAAAGAAAAGCAGCAGGUUAAUACCCCGCUGUUCUGACGGUACCCAAAGAAUAAGCACCGGCUAACUUCGUG
RNAcentral lists this ribosomal RNA (492 nucleotides) under uncultured bacterium. RNAcentral's name for it is "partial 16S ribosomal RNA". It matches the Rfam family "Bacterial small subunit ribosomal RNA", at positions 29 to 507 of the family's 1533-position model. The record is from RNAcentral.